This 22-nucleotide microRNA is filed under the name Mus musculus (house mouse). RNAcentral describes it as "mmu-miR-1198-3p". Lineage: Eukaryota; Metazoa; Chordata; Mammalia; Rodentia; Muridae. The record is from miRBase by way of RNAcentral.
AAGCUAGCCUCUAACUCAUGGC